AGAGAGAGAGAGAACUUCCGUAUGCUGGUUCACUCCCAAAAUGGCCACACGGCCUGGGCUGGGCCAGGCUGAAGCCAUCUGGGUCUCCCACAUGGGUGCAGGGGCCCAAGCACUUGGCCAUCUUCUGCUGCUUUCCCAGGCACAUCAGCAGGGAGCUGGAUCAGAAGUGGAGCAACCAGGACUUGAACCGGCACCCAUAUGGCAUGCUGGCGCUGCGGACGGCAGCUUAGCCUGCUGCACCACGGCACCGGCCCCACGGCUCCCUUUGCUCCCAGCCCUUCCCCAGGCCCCCAAGGCCUGUGACCCCUGCUCCUGGUUUGCCCAGAAGGUUCUGAUGUAGCCGUGGGAGUCUUGGCCUGGGGCCUCCUCAGUCCAACAGCACUGUGAGCUUCUUUCUGAAGAUGUUUCCAGAAACAUCUCAGCAUUUCAAAGACUCAUCACAGCCAACUUUAGUCCCAAAGAAUGUAGAGCGUCUUCCUGCCUGAGGCCCGUGCUCGCGCUGACGGAUGUGGAACCAGGCGUCCCGUGGCUGCACCUGCUCCGAGCUGGAAGGUGAGCCAGACCACGUGACCUGGGACGACCAGGUCAGCUCUCACCUCCCACAAGUGUCCCAGGCAGGACGCUGCUCCCUGGGUACAGGCAGCUAAUUCCUGCCACCUCGGCGCUCCGGCUCCACCGUGCUAAUAUCGGAUUAAUAAUUAACAUUUGCCGAACUGGUAACCGUUUCUUAGAUACUGCACUGAGUGUGCUGCAAGAAUUAAACUCCUUGCGUCCCUGA
Oryctolagus cuniculus (rabbit) is the source of this 778-nucleotide non-coding RNA. Lineage: Eukaryota; Metazoa; Chordata; Mammalia; Lagomorpha; Leporidae. The record is from RefSeq and is a predicted model, not a curated record.